CAUCCGUGUCACAUCACGUUCCCCUCACUCACUCCACCCAGCCCCACCGGCCUUCCCAGUGCCCCUUGAACACUCCAAGCACAUGCCCACCGCAGGGCCUUUGCACUAGCUGUUCCCUUUGCCUGGAAGGCUCUCCCGGCGAAUAUCCGCGUGCUUCAUUCCCAACUCCAUCGCACAUCACCUUCUCAGGAGGGUCUCCUCCUCCCCUGACCGCCCCACCUAACAGAGCCUCCUUCCUUCCUCUGGGGACCCACAGAGGGAUCGGCUGAAGGUUCAGUGAAGGACUCUCGGCUUGGGAAUCUCACGGGAAGAAAAGAGACGAGCAUGUGCCGAGCACCUACUGUGUGCCCGGCCUUGGGUCAGAACCACCUCUGCGACCUUAUUUGAUCACAGGGGUCCUUCCAGGGAGGACCAUGUCGUCUUCUUCUAUUUGCAGGUGAGGAAAGAGGCUCAGAGAGGGGAACCGACCUGCCUGAGGCCUCACGGUUUGUAAGUGACAGAGCUGUCCCCAGCCCUCCACCCGCUGCCCUGGAGAUGGAGGUGUGGGACCCUCGGCAUCCGAGGGGACAGCCGACGCGGACAAGACCGUCCCGAGGGGGUGUGAUAAGGAGCACGAUGAUAGAAGUGAUGUAUCCCUGGUCUGAGCGCGUCACGUGUCCUCUCCGGUUCCAGCCUCUCCACGCUUCGAUGCGGCUCGGACCGUCAGCGUCUACUUCCCAGCACACAGCACCGGCCAGGUGCGUGGCCCAGCCGGGAGUCCGUCCCAGGCAGUUCGCUGCUAGAACGCACGAAGCCGCUCCCGUUCUGUGCACCUCGGCAGAAAAGGAGGGAAAAGGAGUCAAGGGAGGAAGGGCAUCAUGUCUGCGACACGGCGGCACGUUACAGGAGUUCAUGUGUGGGGGGGCCUGACCUCUGAGUUUGACGAGAGGGUGCGCCUUAUCCCUGAGCAAACCCAUCUGCCCUGGGGAGCUCCGGGGAGGGCAGGCUGCUCCCCUCAACUGAGUGGGCACAGUGCAGGCAGAUGGGCCCAGG
RNAcentral lists this long non-coding RNA (1032 nucleotides) under Felis catus (domestic cat). RNAcentral's name for it is "lncRNA (ENSFCAG00000047095.1)". The record is from RNAcentral. Lineage: Eukaryota; Metazoa; Chordata; Mammalia; Carnivora; Felidae.